CUAAUACCGCAUACGAUCUAAGGAUGAAAGCAGGGGAUCUUCGGACCUUGUGCUCCUGGAGCGGCCGAUAUCUGAUUAGCUAGUUGGUGAGGUAAAGGCUCACCAAGGCCACGAUCAGUAGCUGGUCUGAGAGGACGACCAGCCACACUGGAACUGAGACACGGUCCAGACUCCUACGGGAGGCAGCAGUGGGGAAUUUUGGACAAUGGGCGAAAGCCUGAUCCAGCAAUGCCGCGUGAGUGAAGAAGGCCUUCGGGUUGUAAAGCUCUUUUGUCAGGGAAGAAACGGUGAGGGCUAAUAUCCCUCGCUAAUGACGGUACCUGAAGAAUAAGCACCGGCUAACUACGUGCCAGCAGCCGCGGUAAUACGUAGGGUGCAAGCGUUAAUCGGAAUUACUGGGCGUAAAGCGUGCGCAGGCGGUUUUGUAAGUCUGACGUGAAAUCCCCGGGCUCAACCUGGGAAUUGCGUUGGAGACUGCAAGGCUAGAAUCUGGCAGAGGGGGGUAGAAUUCCACGUGUAGCAGUGAAAUGCGUAGAGAUGUGGAGGAACACCGAUGGCGAAGGCAGCCCCCUGGGUCAAGAUUGACGCUCAUGCACGAAAGCGUGGGGAGCAAACAGGAUUAGAUACCCUGGUAGUCCACGCCCUAAACGAUGUCUACUAGUUGUCGGGUUUUAAUUAACUUGGUAACGCAGCUAACGCGUGAAGUAGACCGCCUGGGGAGUACGGUCGCAAGAUUAAAACUCAAAGGAAUUGACGGGGACCCGCACAAGCGGUGGAUGAUGUGGAUUA
Molecule: ribosomal RNA, 789 nt
Filed under: Massilia aurea
Lineage: Bacteria; Pseudomonadati; Pseudomonadota; Betaproteobacteria; Burkholderiales; Oxalobacteraceae
Description: bacterial SSU rRNA
Rfam family: Bacterial small subunit ribosomal RNA
Source: RNAcentral